RNAcentral lists this unclassified non-coding RNA (212 nucleotides) under soil metagenome. RNAcentral's name for it is "partial contains 5.8S ribosomal RNA, internal transcribed spacer 2, and large subunit ribosomal RNA". The record is from RNAcentral.
AACAAGGCGUACCUGCGGACCUGCGGAAGGAUCAUUACAAGUGACCCCGGUCUAACCACCGGGAUGUUCAUAACCCUUUGUUGUCCGACUCUGUUGCCUCCGGGGCGACCCUGCCUUCGGGCGGGGGCUCCGGGUGGACACUUCAAACUCUUGCGUAACUUUGCAGUCUGAGUAAAUUUAAUUAAUAAAUUAAAACUUUUAACAACGGAUCU